UCCCUGGUGGCUCAGACGGUAAAGCGUCUGUCUACAAUGCAGGAGACCCGAGUUCGAUCCCUGGGUGGGGAA
This 72-nucleotide transfer RNA is filed under the name Bos taurus (domestic cattle). It matches the Rfam family "tRNA". From Rfam's summary of the family: Transfer RNA (tRNA) molecules are approximately 80 nucleotides in length. Their secondary structure includes four short double-helical elements and three loops (D, anti-codon, and T loops). The record is from Rfam by way of RNAcentral. RNAcentral also lists the same sequence under 2 other names. Lineage: Eukaryota; Metazoa; Chordata; Mammalia; Artiodactyla; Bovidae.